UCUGUAUAAACUUUAGUUUAUACAAGCAAAAGACAGGGAACUCUGUGAUGAAGAAAUCUCUAAGGACUCUGAGAAGAAUGGUCCUGUACUCGAGUUUGAGUUUUAAACUAGGAAAAUGACUAAUAAUUGAAAAUAAUGGGAACUCUGUGGAAUUUUCUUUGUAUGUCAUCAUGAAAUUGCUGUGUAACAAACAACCAAGAUCCAAAAUAGCAAGACUGGGAGGUACGACUGCAGAAAAAAAUUCAUCCCAUGAUAAGAACCAAUGGGUUGAAACUGUCCAAUAAACGUUGCUUAAUGAAGCCCAGGAGCGAUUAUAAACAUCCAAUGAAUGAGUUUGUGUGCUGCAGGAAGAGACCAACAAGAAACAGAAGAUCAGUCAGUGCAUGGGUAGAUGACAUCUGUGCAUCCCAUUGUGUGAAAAAUAAUCUGCUGAUUUUGCCCUUUGUUCUAAAAUAAAUUCAUUACAUAGGCC
RNAcentral lists this long non-coding RNA (472 nucleotides) under Homo sapiens (human). RNAcentral's name for it is "HSALNT0322867". The record is from RNAcentral. Lineage: Eukaryota; Metazoa; Chordata; Mammalia; Primates; Hominidae.